Molecule: long non-coding RNA, 2491 nt
Organism: Lagopus leucura (white-tailed ptarmigan)
Lineage: Eukaryota; Metazoa; Chordata; Aves; Galliformes; Phasianidae
Exons: 2
Source: RefSeq, a predicted model, not a curated record
AAUCCAGCUGAUGGUUAACAAAAAACCCUUACCAGGAAGACAUGGACUCGAGUGCAUCUGUAGGGCUACUGAGAGCUGUGGCGGCUUUGGGCUGCUUCCACGAGGUGAGGAGACAUCUCUGCACACCGCAGACAGCCCUGUCCUUUCUGCAAUAAUUCUCUUCCUUUUACCACUCAUCCUGACUGACUCUCAAAAGCAGUAUUUUGAGCUGAGGAAGAUGCUCAGUGUAUUUCUUGUCACCAAAUCAGCUUGGCCACUCUUCCUGCCUGCAGACCCUCUCUGCCUGCCCUUUGUCCCCUUCUUCCCUUUGACUCAGGCUUCAGAAACAUCAUUGCCUGUUUGCAUUGACACUCCCAUCACCAAUCCAGCCCUCAGCCGUUUCCAGGAGCACAAAAAAGGAACAGCAGUGGAUGAACUGCCCAGUUGUGGCUUGAUGUGCAUUUCAGGUUAAUGGGAUCCAAGCACCAAGGCCUGCCGUGUGAGGGCAAGCAAGGCACACAUAGACCCUGUAAUGUACUUACAGCUCCAAUACUUCCUAUAUUUAUUUAUGUGGCCUGGUACCAGAAACAUCUCAGCAGGCCUCUCCAGACCAAGGACUUACUCCCCUUACUCCAGAGCAAGGGCUGGGAAGUCUCCUAGAGCUCCAGCCCUGUACAGUUGCUGGCAAUAAAGGGGUUACUGAGGUUCCUGCAGAGUGCCUAAGGCUCUUCCUUAGGAGACAGCCUUCAGAAUAUAAUAAAAGAAAGGUUGAGAGAGUCUCUAGUUGUUCAAAAAACUUCUCUCCUACUCUGCUCCCAGGCACUAGCUUGCUUGGUCACUUUGUGCUAAAUGCACUACAACUACCCAGGAGGCAGCAGGCAGCUUUCAUGAAUCUGACCAGAGGAAUAGACUCAGCUCCCUGCAUAUUACAGCCAAAUUGACUCCAAAUCAAGCAUGUUUAUUUGAGCUCUAUUCAAUACUAUUCAGCACCCUCAAGGGAAACUGAAGGUCUGUGGGUCUGAAGACCAAACAAUGUUGUUGCUAAACCAAGGAGACAGCCAUCCAUGGUAUCAGCCACCUUUCUAGUCAAGAAGAAACAAUGGAAUCAGAAGUCACCUCAUUUAGGUAAGGGACUGGCUUCUCUGAUGCUGGGAAAAGGCCCAGUGCCUGGGAUCUCUUUCCCCUUAGCAACUGGAAAAAUGGGCACUAGUCCUCAGCCUCUGGAGGUGAUUCCUGCCAAAUGUGAAGGAAAGGUAACCCUUCAAGGAGAAUACUGUAAAUUACCAAAGCAAGUAAUUGCCAUGGAGGGAGGUAUUCAGUAGCUGAGAGAAUUAGCCAUGCUGGAUGAUGUGGAAGGAUGCAAAGAUCUAGUGUGUACUUCAAUGAGAUUUAACCUUAGGUGAAGCUAAUCUAUAAUUAGAGUUAUAUGUUGUAGGAAAGCACUGCAGAAGACACUAACUGGAUCAAGAAAGAGUGAACUUGGCAAGGAACCUGCCCCGCUCAUUGUCCUGCUGUGGAAGAGGAGUGAGACACAGAGCAAGAAGCUUUGCAGCGCUUAGCUGCCUCCUGGUGUUAUACCACAACACUUGAGAGAACCAUGCUGUCAUGGUGACCCUUCAGCCUGACAGUAACCAGAUUCUUAAAAGGAAAAUAGAGAAAACACAAGAGAGUCACGUCUGCCCAGAACAUCCUGGUCAAGCCCAACCCUCUGAUUGAGGUCAGUGUCACUGACAUUGGCACCAGAGGGGUUCAUACUGGAACCAAAGUCAGGGAAGGGACAGGGAUAGCUGUCAAUGAAGGACCAAAGCUCACACACACCCUUUCCUGUGCUCUACACCACUCAGUACCGGGGUGGCUCAUCAGUGGCUUGGAGCAGCUGCACAUGGCUGCGAGCUUUCUUCUUCCCAUUUCUCACACCAACCCUUACUCCUCACAUUCCUGAACUACUUCAGCUUUGGAAACAAGUUUCCAUCAUUUCCCACUAGGAUGGACACCCUAUAAUGGCCCACCUGAUGAGCCCUGAUUUGUUUUUUGGGCAUGGUUCAGUUCAGUUCAGUCCACGAGUUUUGUUCUCUGAGGGAAGAAUGGGAAAAGAGGAAAGUACAAAGGGUCACCUGGGAGCUCAGUGGGAGAAAGGAGAUGUCUGAAGACCCUCAGAGAAGAUGAAUUAGGAAAGACAAAAUCUUUUUUACAUCCGAAAUGAGGCAUCUUUCACCUUUUUUUUUUUUUUUUUCUUUAAUGGUGGUAGAUUUAACAAACCUAUAUUGGAGUAAGGCUGAGUUUAUUGUAUAUCUCCUUUGCUCUUUCCCCAGUAACAUGAAUAUCUGUGCAUUUGCCUUAGUGCUUCGUCCUGUGGUCGUAUUUUGGUUGUUUGGUUGGUGUUGUUUGUGUGCUUCUCUCACAGAUUCGAGACUAUAAAGGGAGCAAGAACUUCAGAGACACGCAUUUGUAGCACCACAAGUAGAAGUCUGGGAAAGCAGUAUAGUAAAUAAAGUAAUUGCUAGAGCUCUCA